CGUGUAGGCGGUUUAAUAAGUCAGAUGUAAAAGCCCCGGCUUAACCGGGGAUAGUCAUUUGAAACUGUUAGGCUUGAGUGCGAGAGAGGGUAGCGGAAUUCCCAGUGUAGCGGUGAAAUGCGUAGAUAUUGGGAAGAACACUAGUAGCGAAGGCGGCUACCUGGCUCGCAACUGACGCUAAGGCGCGAAAGCGUGGGGAGCAAACA
This 206-nucleotide ribosomal RNA is filed under the name uncultured bacterium. Its description in RNAcentral is "partial 16S ribosomal RNA". It matches the Rfam family "Bacterial small subunit ribosomal RNA", at positions 568 to 774 of the family's 1533-position model. The record is from RNAcentral.